CCUACGGGAGGCAGCAGUGAGGAAUAUUGGGCAAUGGACGGAAGUCUGAACCAGCCAUGCCGCGUGCAGGAAGACGGCUCUAUGAGUGGUAAACUGCUUUUGUACAAGGGUAAACCUGAAUACGUGUAUUCAGCUGAAAGUACUGUACGAAUAAGGAACGGCUAACUCCGUACCAGCAGCCGCGGUAAUACGGAGGAUCCAAGCGUUAUCCGGAUUUAUUGGUGUUAAAGGGUGCGUAGGCGGAUUGAUAAGUUAGAGGUGAAAUGUCCGAGCUUAACUCGGGAACUGCAUAUAAUACUGUUGAUCUAGAGAGUAGAUGAGGAAGGUGGAAGGUAUGGUGUAGCGGUGAAAUGCUUAGAGAUCAUACAGAACACCGAUUGCGAAGGCAGCUUACUAAUCUAUAUCUGACGUUGAGGCACGAAAGCGUGGGGAGCAAACAGGAUUAGAUACCCUGGUAGUC
This 460-nucleotide ribosomal RNA is filed under the name uncultured bacterium. Its description in RNAcentral is "partial 16S ribosomal RNA". It matches the Rfam family "Bacterial small subunit ribosomal RNA", at positions 338 to 795 of the family's 1533-position model. The record is from RNAcentral.